Pelobates cultripes (western spadefoot toad) is the source of this 698-nucleotide non-coding RNA. NCBI's taxonomy places the organism in Eukaryota, Metazoa, Chordata, Amphibia, Anura, Pelobatidae. The record is from the annotation of a GenBank genome assembly.
AGUUAAGCCUGCAUCUUAAAUUGGCAAUACUACAAGCAGUAGAGGUUGUAUUAGGAAAGAUUUCAAGGAAUAUAUUUUCAUCUUCUCCUGGUGUCAGUUAUCAAAAGGUACUUUCAGACCAAUGCUGUUUUUGAAACUCCUCAAUCACGUACAUUUAACAGAACACAAAGUAAAAUGCGCCCAGUCUGGGAUGAUGAACUCCUGUUGUCAAAUUACAACGUUUUCAAAGAGGUGGUGUGAGCUAAGGUUUUUCAAAACUCUGCUUGUGUGCAAAACUUUUCAUUUUCAGUUGGACAGUUCUACUAUAUUCACUACAUAUACUGACAACGCAGUGGUAGCUUUUUCAUAGGGGCACUUAAGGCUGCGCUCCACCAGAUACUGGUCAUAAUCUAUUGCCAGUGGUAACAUAAAGUAAACUACUGACAUUGCUUUCCUUUGUGAAAGGGCAAAUUUGAAUUGUAAAAGCUAAAUAUGCACCACACGCAACUGCAGUGCUACCAUCCCCCCUCUCCUUCUUCCACUACAGCACUAACUGACUCACUGUUAAUGAUGACUGUCUGGAUAUGCUGUUGAAAGCAACUGGGCUUGUGUAGAAUUUAGGUCAAUUGUGAAAUGUGUCCAGUCUGAGAGUACCUCAGAUAUGCCCGAUAUGCCCAUAGGGGAGAUUCUACUCCAUUUAAUCUCAGGUUGAGUUUCUG